Molecule: ribosomal RNA, 253 nt
Filed under: uncultured bacterium
Lineage: Bacteria
Description: partial 16S ribosomal RNA
Rfam family: Bacterial small subunit ribosomal RNA
Source: RNAcentral
UACGAAGGGUGCAAACGUUGCUCAGAAUUAUUGGGCGUAAAGAGCUUGUAGGCGGUUUGUCGCGUCUGCUGUGAAAUUUCGGGGCUCAACCCCGAACUUGCAGUGGGUACGGGCAGACUAGAGUGUGGUAGGGGAGACUGGAAUUCCUGGUGUAGCGGUGAAAUGCGCAGAUAUCAGGAGGAACACCGAUGGCGAAGGCAGGUCUCUGGGCCAUAACUGACGCUGAGAAGCGAAAGCAUGGGGAGCGAACAGG